RNAcentral lists this ribosomal RNA (2511 nucleotides) under Escherichia coli. Its description in RNAcentral is "partial 23S ribosomal RNA". It matches the Rfam family "Bacterial large subunit ribosomal RNA", at positions 292 to 2797 of the family's 2925-position model. The record is from RNAcentral. Lineage: Bacteria; Pseudomonadati; Pseudomonadota; Gammaproteobacteria; Enterobacterales; Enterobacteriaceae.
GAGGAGCCCAGAGCCUGAAUCAGUGUGUGUGUUAGUGGAAGCGUCUGGAAAGGCGCGCGAUACAGGGUGACAGCCCCGUACACAAAAAUGCACAUAUUGUGAGCUCGAUGAGUAGGGCGGGACACGUGGUAUCCUGUCUGAAUAUGGGGGGACCAUCCUCCAAGGCUAAAUACUCCUGACUGACCGAUAGUGAACCAGUACCGUGAGGGAAAGGCGAAAAGAACCCCGGCGAGGGGAGUGAAAAAGAACCUGAAACCGUGUACGUACAAGCAGUGGGAGCCUCUUUAUGGGGUGACUGCGUACCUUUUGUAUAAUGGGUCAGCGACUUAUAUUCUGUAGCAAGGUUAACCGAAUAGGGGAGCCGAAGGGAAACCGAGUCUUAACUGGGCGUUAAGUUGCAGGGUAUAGACCCGAAACCCGGUGAUCUAGCCAUGGGCAGGUUGAAGGUUGGGUAACACUAACUGGAGGACCGAACCGACUAAUGUUGAAAAAUUAGCGGAUGACUUGUGGCUGGGGGUGAAAGGCCAAUCAAACCGGGAGAUAGCUGGUUCUCCCCGAAAGCUAUUUAGGUAGCGCCUCGUGAAUUCAUCUCCGGGGGUAGAGCACUGUUUCGGCAAGGGGGUCAUCCCGACUUACCAACCCGAUGCAAACUGCGAAUACCGGAGAAUGUUAUCACGGGAGACACACGGCGGGUGCUAACGUCCGUCGUGAAGAGGGAAACAACCCAGACCGCCAGCUAAGGUCCCAAAGUCAUGGUUAAGUGGGAAACGAUGUGGGAAGGCCCAGACAGCCAGGAUGUUGGCUUAGAAGCAGCCAUCAUUUAAAGAAAGCGUAAUAGCUCACUGGUCGAGUCGGCCUGCGCGGAAGAUGUAACGGGGCUAAACCAUGCACCGAAGCUGCGGCAGCGACACUAUGUGUUGUUGGGUAGGGGAGCGUUCUGUAAGCCUGUGAAGGUGGCCUGUGAGGGUUGCUGGAGGUAUCAGAAGUGCGAAUGCUGACAUAAGUAACGAUAAAGCGGGUGAAAAGCCCGCUCGCCGGAAGACCAAGGGUUCCUGUCCAACGUUAAUCGGGGCAGGGUGAGUCGACCCCUAAGGCGAGGCCGAAAGGCGUAGUCGAUGGGAAACAGGUUAAUAUUCCUGUACUUGGUGUUACUGCGAAGGGGGGACGGAGAAGGCUAUGUUGGCCGGGCGACGGUUGUCCCGGUUUAAGCGUGUAGGCUGGUUUUCCAGGCAAAUCCGGAAAACCAAGGCUGAGGCGUGAUGACGAGGCACUACGGUGCUGAAGCGACAAAUGCCCUGCUUCCAGGAAAAGCCUCUAAGCAUCAGGUAACAUCAAAUCGUACCCCAAACCGACACAGGUGGUCAGGUAGAGAAUACCAAGGCGCUUGAGAGAACUCGGGUGAAGGAACUAGGCAAAAUGGUGCCGUAACUUCGGGAGAAGGCACGCUGAUAUGUAGGUGAAGCGACUUGCUCGUGGAGCUGAAAUCAGUCGAAGAUACCAGCUGGCUGCAACUGUUUAUUAAAAACACAGCACUGUGCAAACACGAAAGUGGACGUAUACGGUGUGACGCCUGCCCGGUGCCGGAAGGUUAAUUGAUGGGGUUAGCGGUAACGCGAAGCUCUUGAUCGAAGCCCCGGUAAACGGCGGCCGUAACUAUAACGGUCCUAAGGUAGCGAAAUUCCUUGUCGGGUAAGUUCCGACCUGCACGAAUGGCGUAAUGAUGGCCAGGCUGUCUCCACCCGAGACUCAGUGAAAUUGAACUCGCUGUGAAGAUGCAGUGUACCCGCGGCAAGACGGAAAGACCCCGUGAACCUUUACUAUAGCUUGACACUGAACAUUGAGCCUUGAUGUGUAGGAUAGGUGGGAGGCUUUGAAGUGUGGACGCCAGUCUGCAUGGAGCCGACCUUGAAAUACCACCCUUUAAUGUUUGAUGUUCUAACGUUGGCCCGUAAUCCGGGUUGCGGACAGUGUCUGGUGGGUAGUUUGACUGGGGCGGUCUCCUCCUAAAGAGUAACGGAGGAGCACGAAGGUUGGCUAAUCCUGGUCGGACAUCAGGAGGUUAGUGCAAUGGCAUAAGCCAGCUUGACUGCGAGCGUGACGGCGCGAGCAGGUGCGAAAGCAGGUCAUAGUGAUCCGGUGGUUCUGAAUGGAAGGGCCAUCGCUCAACGGAUAAAAGGUACUCCGGGGAUAACAGGCUGAUACCGCCCAAGAGUUCAUAUCGACGGCGGUGUUUGGCACCUCGAUGUCGGCUCAUCACAUCCUGGGGCUGAAGUAGGUCCCAAGGGUAUGGCUGUUCGCCAUUUAAAGUGGUACGCGAGCUGGGUUUAGAACGUCGUGAGACAGUUCGGUCCCUAUCUGCCGUGGGCGCUGGAGAACUGAGGGGGGCUGCUCCUAGUACGAGAGGACCGGAGUGGACGCAUCACUGGUGUUCGGGUUGUCAUGCCAAUGGCACUGCCCGGUAGCUAAAUGCGGAAGAGAUAAGUGCUGAAAGCAUCUAAGCACGAAACUUGC